AUUGAACGCUGGCGGCAGGCCUAACACAUGCAAGUCGAGCGGCAGCGGAAAGUAGCUUGCUACUUUGCCGGCGAGCGGCGGACGGGUGAGUAAUGUCUGGGAAACUGCCUGAUGGAGGGGGAUAACUACUGGAAACGGUAGCUAAUACCGCAUAACGUCGCAAGACCAAAGAGGGGGACCUUCGGGCCUCUUGCCAUCAGACGUGCCCAGAUGGGAUUAGCUAGUAGGUGGGGUAACGGCUCACCUAGGCGACGAUCCCUAGCUGGUCUGAGAGGAUGACCAGCCACACUGGAACUGAGACACGGUCCAGACUCCUACGGGAGGCAGCAGUGGGGAAUAUUGCACAAUGGGCGCAAGCCUGAUGCAGCCAUGCCGCGUGUAUGAAGAAGGCCUUCGGGUUGUAAAGUACUUUCAGCGGGGAGGAAGGUGUUGAGGUUAAUAACCUCAGCAAUUGACGUUACCCGCAGAAGAAGCACCGGCUAACUCCGUG
Molecule: ribosomal RNA, 490 nt
Filed under: uncultured bacterium
Lineage: Bacteria
Description: partial 16S ribosomal RNA
Rfam family: Bacterial small subunit ribosomal RNA
Source: RNAcentral